GGAGUUAGCCGGUGCUUCUUCUGUGAGUGAUGUCCUUCCUGCCGGUUAUUGACCCGCAGGCCUUCUUCCUCACUGAAAGUGCUUUACAACCCGAAGGCCUUCUUCACACACGCGGCAUGGCUGGAUCAGGGUUGCCCCCAUUGUCCAAUAUUCCCCACUGCUGCCUCCCGUAGGAGUCUGGGCCGUGUCUCAGUCCCAGUGUGGCUGAUCAUCCUCUCAGACCAGCUACGGAUCGUCGCCUUGGUGAGCCGUUACCUCACCAACCAGCUAAUCCGACAUAGGCUCAUCCGAUAGCGCGAGGCCCGAAGGUCCCCCGCUUUCCCCCGUAGGGCGUAUGCGGUAUUAGCCUGGGUUUCCCCAGGUUAUCCCCCGACUACCGGGCAGAUUCCUAUGCAUUACUCACCCGUCCGCCGCUCGCCACCAGGGAGCAAGCUCCCCGUGCUGCCGCUCGACUUGCAUGUGUUAGGCCUGCCGCCAGCGUUCAAUCUGAGCCAGAAUCGAACCCUGA
Molecule: ribosomal RNA, 508 nt
Filed under: uncultured bacterium
Lineage: Bacteria
Description: partial 16S ribosomal RNA
Source: RNAcentral